Molecule: ribosomal RNA, 253 nt
Filed under: uncultured prokaryote
Description: partial 16S ribosomal RNA
Rfam family: Bacterial small subunit ribosomal RNA
Source: RNAcentral
ACGGAGGGUGCAAGCGUUAUCCGGAUUCACUGGGCUUAAAGGGUGCGUAGGCGGGCAUUUAAGUCAGUGGUGAAAUACCUGAGCUUAACUUGGGAACUGCCAUUGAUACUAUUUGUCUUGAAUGUCGUGGAGGUUAGCGGAAUAUGUCAUGUAGCGGUGAAAUGCUUAGAUAUGACAUAGAACACCUAUUGCGAAGGCAGCUUACUACACGAUCAUUGACGCUGAGGCACGAAAGCGCGGGGAGCUAACAGGA